GACGAACGCUGGCGGCGUGCCUAAUACAUGCAAGUUGAGCGAUGAAGAUUGGUGCUUGCACCAAUUUGAAGAGCAGCGAACGGGUGAGUAACGCGUGGGGAAUCUGCCUUUGAGCGGGGGACAACAUUUGGAAACGAAUGCUAAUACCGCAUAACAACUUUAAACAUAAGUUUUAAGUUUGAAAGAUGCAAUUGCAUCACUCAAAGAUGAUCCCGCGUUGUAUUAGCUAGUUGGUGAGGUAAAGGCCCACCAAGGCGAUGAUACAUAGCCGACCUGAGAGGGUGGUCGGCCACAUUGGGACGGAGACACGGCCCAAACUCCUACGGGAGGCAGCAGUAGGGAAUCUUCGGCAAUGGACGAAAGUCUGACCGAGCAACGCCGCGUGAGUGAAGAAGGUUUUCGGAUCGUAAAACUCUGUUGGUAGAGAAGAACGUUGGUGAGAGUGGAAAGCUCAUCAAGUGACGGUAACUACCCAGAAAGGGACGGCUAACUACGUG
This 497-nucleotide ribosomal RNA is filed under the name uncultured bacterium. RNAcentral's name for it is "partial 16S ribosomal RNA". It matches the Rfam family "Bacterial small subunit ribosomal RNA", at positions 28 to 507 of the family's 1533-position model. The record is from RNAcentral.